Molecule: ribosomal RNA, 531 nt
Filed under: uncultured bacterium
Lineage: Bacteria
Description: bacterial SSU rRNA
Rfam family: Bacterial small subunit ribosomal RNA
Source: RNAcentral
AAUAGAUACCCAGGUAGUCCACGCCGUAAACGAUAAUCACUGGACGUCAGCUGAGCGUAGCUCAGUUGGUGUCGAAGCUAACGCGUUAAGUGAUUCGCCUGGGGAGUACGGUCGCAAGACUAAAACUUAAAGGAAUUGACGGGGGUCCGCACAAGCGGUGGAACAUGUGGUUUAAUUCGACAAUACGCGAGGAACCUUACCUGGGCUUGACAUGCAUUUGAUCGCCGUAGAGAUGCGGUUUUUUAAGCUUCGGUUUAGACAGAUGCACAGGUGCUGCAUGGCUGUCGUCAGCUCGUGUCGUGAGAUGUUGGGUUAAGUCCUUUAACGAGCGCAACCCCUACUGUCAGUUGCUACUCAUCUUCGGGUGAGGCACUCUGAUGGGACUGCCUGGGAAACCAGGAGGAAGGUGGGGACGACGUCAAGUCAUCAUGGUCCUUAUGUCCAGGGCUACACACGUGUUACAAUGGUCGGUACAAAGGGACGCCAAGCCGUAAGGUGGAGCAAAUCCCAGAAAGCCGAUCUAAGUUCGGA